This 372-nucleotide ribosomal RNA is filed under the name uncultured fungus. RNAcentral's name for it is "bacterial SSU rRNA". It matches the Rfam family "Eukaryotic small subunit ribosomal RNA", at positions 364 to 723 of the family's 1831-position model. The record is from RNAcentral. Lineage: Eukaryota; Fungi.
GGGGAAUAAGGGUUCGAUUCCGGAGAGGGACGCCGUGAGAAACGGCUACCACUAUCCAAGGAAGGCAGCAGGCGCGCAAAUUACCCAAUCCCGACACGGGGAGGUAUGUGACAAUAAUAUAACAAUAUAGGGGCUCUUUGCGGGUCUUAUAAUGUGGAAUGAGUACAAUUUAAAUCCCUUAAGCGAGGAACAAUUGGAGGGCAAGUCGUUGGUGCCAGCAGCCGGGUAAUUCCAGCUCCAAUAGCGUAUAUUAAGAGUUGUUGCAGUUAAAAACGCUCGUAGUUGAACUUCAGGCCUGGCGUGGAUGGUCUACCUAACGGUAUGUACUGUCGUGGCUGGGUCUUUACCUCUUGGUGAGCCGGUAUGCCCUUA